GGCUCAGGAUUGAACGCUGGCGGCAUGCCUUACACAUGCAAGUCGAACGGCAGCACGGGGCAACCUGGUGGCGAGUGGCGAACGGGUGAGUAAUGCAUCGGAACGUGCCAUUGAGUGGGGGGUAACGUAGCGAAAGUUACGCUAAUACCGCAUAUUCUGUGAGCAGGAAAGCAGGGGAUCGCAAGACCUUGCGCUCUUUGAGCGGCCGAUGUCAGAUUAGCUAGUUGGUGAGGUAACGGCUUACCAAGGCGACGAUCUGUAGCGGGUCUGAGAGGAUGAUCCGCCACACUGGAACUGAGACACGGUCCAGACUCCUACGGGAGGCAGCAGUGGGGAAUUUUUGGACAAUGGGGGCAACCCUGAUCCAGCCAUGCCGCGUGAGUGAAGAAGGCCUUCGGGUUGUAAAGCUCUUUCGGCCGGGAAGAAAUCGCAUGGGUUAAUACCCUGUGUGGAUGACGGUACCGGCAUAAGAAGCACCGGCUAACUACGUG
RNAcentral lists this ribosomal RNA (491 nucleotides) under uncultured bacterium. Its description in RNAcentral is "bacterial SSU rRNA". It matches the Rfam family "Bacterial small subunit ribosomal RNA", at positions 21 to 507 of the family's 1533-position model. The record is from RNAcentral.